Molecule: ribosomal RNA, 369 nt
Filed under: Colpodea sp. BioMarKs_Marine_Colpodea_OTU_11
Lineage: Eukaryota; Ciliophora; Colpodea
Description: SSU rRNA
Rfam family: Eukaryotic small subunit ribosomal RNA
Source: RNAcentral
AGCUCCAAUAGCGUAUAUUAAAGUUGUUGCAGUUAAAAAGCUCGUAGUUGAAUUUCUGGCCAAUCUUGUGCUGCGCUUCUAGCCGGUACGAGGUUUGGUCAUCCGUAAGGGAAGCUAGUACGAACUUCAAUGGUCGGCUAGGGGAACUUACAAUUUACUGUGAAAAAAAUUAGAGUGUUUCAGGCAGGCAAUCGCUUGGAUACUCCAGCAUGGAAUAAUGGAAUAGGACUUUGGUCGAUUUGUUGGUUUGAGAUCAAAGUAAUGAUUAAUAGGGACAGUUGGGGGCAUUCGUAUUUAAUUGUCAGAGGUGAAAUUCUUGGAUUUAUUAAAGACGGACUUAUGCGAAAGCAUUUGCCAAGGAUGUUUUCA